CGAGGGGUGGGUGUUGCAGUGCGGCGGGAGAAGCUGCGCGGGGUGAUUCCCUCAGCUGAUGGCCGGGGAGUUGCAAAAAUGGACAUUAAAUGAAGCUACUCGUUGCGAUAGGUUGGGAUCACAAACAUCCCGUUACCUCAUCUCAGCUAAAGGCGUCUGUGGAAAUGCUCUGUCACUGUAAUAACGAGUGAACUCUGUGGCUUCGUUGGCUGAAGCAGUGCCUAAAGGUUUAAAACUUUCAGCCUUAUAUUUAAGUGUAUUUCUGAAGGGUUCUUCACCAGUGGUAGAAGGGCAAUGUGAGCAGCCAUGAAUAGCACAUAAAUAGAAAGCACAGGAGCUGUACCAGGACAGCAACGUUAAAACCGCCUUCAGGUGAGCAUGGACCACAUCAACAGGACAGAGGUGUCUUUAUUGGAUCCUGUUGGUACAGAAGGGUUUUGUGCUGGGGAUUACAGCAGAACUCUGGAGGAAAAGAUGUCCUGAAGCUGCUGACUUCAUUUUGGUUUUCUCUGGUGCUUCUAAAAGCAGUAAGCACUUUAAAAGACGCUAACGAAUGCAAUUUGUGUGGGAGAGGUGUUGGUCUUAUCCCUACUGUGUGGGCUGACAGCCCAGGACAGCAUGGUAUCAUUCUCUACAUCGUAAGUUUUUUACAGCUGAGAGGGAUUUUGAGUGGCCUUCCUGGAUGUCACCCAGCAAAGGGGUGGCAUAGUUGGGCAGGGAGCCUCCAAGUCCUGGGUGUGCGUUCCCUGAUGUGGACUGAGUGCCAGGAGAACAGCUGAACAUACAGCCCAUGUCCGUCACGCGCCCACAGGUCUUGGGGGAGUCUGGGUUAUUCCUGGGUGCUGAGAGAGACAUUGCUCUGUGAAUUUAACAUAGCUUCAAGCAGGACAUGCAGCCUUGCUGCUAUUCUGCAUUCUCUGCCUCCACAUCACUGUUGUCUGUGAGAGGGAAAUCCCACAGGGGCUUCUGAGCGGUGGAGCUUUUGGUUUGCAUGGGGCCUUCCUGGCUUAAGAUUGCCUACAUAAAAGAGAGAAGUGAUGCUUUAGUAAAAAUGGCCAUUAAUUUUAAGAAUAAAUGGAAGCGUUACUACCUUUAGAGAAAGCCAAAGCAACCAACAACUUUUGCCCAGGGAACACAAGCUAUGAAUUAAGACGACACAGUCCCUGGCUAAUUUAUCCUAAUUCCCUCCACAUAUCUCUGGAUUAUCAAGCUCCUAUACUUUAGGGCAAUAAAGUACACUCACUAUCUUCUCCUCUUUAGCAGGAGGGCUUCGCAAGAACCAGCAGAGAGGAGCAUAAGCAAUGUUGGUAACUCCAAUGAUGACCAUCAGCCAGGGAAACCCAAUAGCUCGUACGAUCGCGCCGCCUGUUGAUGGACCUGCACAUUGAAACAUGAACAAAGGCUCAGGAGGCAGGAAAAGAGCAAAAGGUGCUCUUCUACUUUGGAGGGGGUCUGAAGUCUGCAGUGGCUGUCCUACAGACUCAGUUCCAGUUGCUGCCAUUAAACACUGGGUGGAAGAACACAUUGAGAACAUCACCCCAUACCAAUUGCAAAGCCCAUGCAGAAGGCAACAUCUGCGAUGGCAUAGACAUUGCCGUAGACAGAGGUGUGGCGAAGGUCCACGAGGUAACCCAUAAUAGGCAUCAUGGAGGAGUCCACCAUUCCUGCCCAGAGCAAGCACGAUAUCAUGAGGUAUUGCCUUUUCCCAGAGCAGUGCUGGGAAUUGUACAGACUGACCACUUACCUAUGGCGAAGCCAAGCCCACCAUUUGGGCCAAUCAGCCCAUAAAUAUUUUUUGCCAGAGGUACCUUAGAGAGGAAAGAGAGAAGGUGUGAAUGAGGCCAGAAGAGCUCCAAGGUGAGGAGGCACAGCAUAGUUCUGUGAGAAAGGUCUGUGGUGCCAUCCCUGAGCAGGUCUCAGAGCUGCCCUGCAGUACUCACACAGAGCAGACUGAUCCCCACCACAGCCAUACCGAUCAGGGAGCACAGCCACCUGCAAGGAGGGCAGCAGAGGGUGAUGCCUUCAGCAUAUGCAAGCAGGAUCCUUGCUGUGGUCGCUGCUGUUCGCUUACCGGCCUAUUUUGUUAGCCAGGAGCCCGAAGAGAUUGGUUCCAAUGAGUGAAAAGCACAUUGUAUAGCUACCAACAAGGACAUUUCCUGCUGAAACCGGAGCAGCACACAGCCUGGCAUCACUCUGUGGGAAUAUGUUUUCUUCCUUUUAAGAUGAUAUAAGAGAUAUUCAGCCCAUCCCGCAGUGCCCAGCAGGAUCCACUCUGGCCAAACUGCAUCAAGCUACUGCUGAGGAGCACGGACUGCAAAGUGAAGCACCUACCAAGCUGCCAUUUGGGGGAGCACAUGGUUUGCAUCAUCCAGAUGGGCAAGGUGGGCUCGAGCAUGGCCACCCCCAUGUUGGAGAAGCAGAGGGCUCCUGGUGAGGAGAGAAGGGAAAGUGUCUGUUUAAGGCUUCUCCUACUGCUGUGUUGAGUAGGAACAAGGAAAUGGGGCAAUUGGGAACGCAGAGGUUACCUGCAGCCACCAGCACAUAGGGGUCCCGCAGCAGGGUGAGCACUGGUGUGCCUCUGGUGCUCUGCUUGAGAUGGGGGCUUAGGGAGCUGCAGGUGGGGGCUGAGCCACCCCCACCUGCAGCAUCUGCCCCAGCAUCGUGCCCAUACUCACCUCAGGGGAGACCUUGGAGGGCUGCAGAAUGCACAGCUGCAAACCUGGGGAGGGGGGGGGAACAGUGCUGUCAGUAUUGCUCCAAGCCAAAUUUCCCUGUGGCUUUUCCUUCAGGGGGGCACCAAUCAUUGGCAGAGCCCCAAGAAUGCAAAGCUGUGCUGUUGGGGCAUCAUCCAGGGAGCUGUCAGCUGCGGGAUUUCAAAUGGGGCAUGGCCAAAAUGAGACAUGGAAAAGAAUGGGAUGAAAAAAAACAAGCUUCAAACACAGGGAGCUUACAUUUCACUUUCCGGAGUCUCUUACAUGCUCCAUUAAAGAUGUCUUACAUUACAUCUAGGCAAAGAUGGUAACUGUGAAUCUAAUUUAAUUAGCUUAAUACUUUCCACUAAAAAUAUGUGUUUCUGCUAUCUGUAAUUCUGAAUGCUGUCGUGGCCUGAAUCUGUAACACAGCUACAGAGAGAGAGUAGGGAUUGCCAUUCACAGGCAACAUCCCAUUUCUUUGUAUUAUGAUGAAGAUGCUGCAGGCAGCACCACGUGUGCCUUCUACAGAGAAAUUCUGUUCAUAGAGCUUGACUGAUGUGCUACUUGAGCCAUUAAAGCAAUCAAAGGGGUCAUUAAGUAAUGAGGGACUAAUUCGUACUGUAUUGCUGUGUCACACAUCUGGUGGUGGGAAGCAUAUGGUUUAGCAAUAAGAGAGUAACUGAUGCUGUAUUAAUUGUGAGAGCCCUGAGAAGUUCUUCCUGAGGUGGCUGCAUUUUGGUCUUUCCACGUGCUUUGGUUUAUGGUUGGGUGAGUUGUUUGCUUUUGGGUUGGGUUAACUACGUGACCCCUCACCUCCAUCCAGCAGGGCUAAGAAAGCCAGGACCAGGAAGGGGGAGGCUUUCCCCACAAACUCGUACAUCACGCUGCCGAACGGGGCCCCGACUGCAAGGGAGAGGCUGUGUCACCAUGCAGCAGGCAACUGGCUUUAACCCAAACCCAUGUCUAGUGAUGGACUAUACCGGUGGAACCACGGGAAAUGGAUGGGGAGCAGAGACUGGGGUCCCCUUCCCCCCUCCCCCAGGGCUGAACCAAGGAUGCUCAGCAGCACCAAGCAGCAAAGCAUGGGGAUACUGUGGGUGUAGAGCCCCUGGCAGCCACAGGUCCUUACUCAGCACACCCAAGGCCAACCCUCCAAGGGCGAUACCCAUGGCGUUGCCUCUCUCAAAGUCGUCUGUGUAGAUGCUGGCCAGCAUGCCCAAGCCUGGGAGCAGAGAGAACCCGAGGUGAUGACUGAACCCAACUGGCAUAGGGCUUCAUGGCAUGCAGUGACCCAACAUGCUCACCUGCAACUGAUGAGAAGGAGGAACCAACACCUUGUAGAGCACGAGCGAUGAACAGCAGCAUGUAGGUGCCAGAGAAUGCAAACACUGCAGAAGGAGAAACACAGUGCCCAGCAGAGCUGCACAUCUAAAGCCCUGCUGAAGUGCAGCAGCAACCACUUGUGCCCAGCUGAGUCCUUCCCUGUCCCCUGCUUCUCAUGCAUGGGGACAGGGCAGGUGGUUGUCUCCUUUGCUGCUUUCAUUUUGGGGCAUCCUACUGUGUGUGAAGGGCAAAUCAGGGGCGGUACUCACUGAGCGUGGAGAGGAACAUGAUGAUGAAACCAAUGAACAUGGGAAUGUGGUAUCCUAUCCUGGAAUGAGAGAAAAGUAUGUCUGGUACAGCUAUGCCUAUGUGUACUGAAGUGUUUUGGUAUGAUGUUGAGCAUUAGUGAGGCUUAUUUUAUAAUGCAAGCUUGCAAACCAUUUGUAGGCUCUUAAAAAAGGCAGAAUUCAUUCCUAUUGUGGUGCUUGCACUCUCCUCUUUGCUAUUCUCUCACCGGAUCCCAUCAUUAUAUAACUGCAGAUCUUUGCCACUUGACUAGCAAGCAGUAGAUUGCAGACAUACCUGUUGGUCAGCAGCCCCACGCUGGGGUUGACCAGGAGCUGGACGAGAGCCUUGGAGGCAAAGAGCAGCCCCACACGCAUGUUCUCCUGCGUGAGGAAUUCCUCACCCUGUGGGCAGCCAUUGGGUGGUGGGGAGCUCAUGGGGAGAUGCUGUGAGUGCCUGGCGCUGGUCCCUUUCUGCAGCUCCACAGUGCUGUGGGAGUCCAAGGUUGUUAUGGUGCCGAUGUCAAAAUAGGAGGACAUGGGGGAGAAAGGAUCUUCGAUGGCUGAGGGAGGUGACUCAGAUUGAUGUGGGGCAGCAGAGCUGUUGGCACCUUCAUAUUCUGUUGUAUAAAGGAAGGUGGGGAUGAUAGGCACUGGGAAAAAAGCCAAGGAGAGUGUUCAUCAGUGGGUUUGCUUGAUUCUGUGGCUCAGCAUGCAUAUGAACUGGAUGGUGCUAUCUCAGUGUUGAUGCUUGGAAGCUCCUUCCCCCAUCCUUCCCCAUGGCUGUCCCCAUUGCUGUCUCACUGCCUGUCCCCGCUGCUCUUCCCUGGCAUGCCCCUACACCCAUCCCCACUCCUGUCCCCACACCCAUCCCCAAUCCUGUCCCCAUGCUUGUCCCCAGCACAGACCGCCAGCUGCCCGCAGCCAUCCCUGCAGUGCUCACCCUACCCACAACAGUCAGCAGCAUAUUGUCCAGCAGCAGUGCGACGAACACCACCACCAGCACCAGCCUCCGUGAUGCCCGGCCCUGUGCCAGCCAGCUCUGGGGCGUGGGGAUGGCUGCUGGGGGCAUUGCUGGGGCUUGGUCUCCUGGCUCCACUGUCAGGGCCAGCAAUGUCUUGCAACCUUGGGAGAAGAUGCUGUGGGUUAGCACCUCCCUCAGGUUCACGACUUAUCUCCUACAUGAGCUGGGUGCUGUUCUGAGAAGCAGAGAGUUCCAGCUUUGCUCUCAAAGACUCCACUUUCAUCCAGCUCACAUUUAAUGCUGCAGUCAGGAGACAGAGUGCUCCCCAGCCCUUUUACAUUCUCUUGAGACAUCUUGUACCCUGCUGCAAGCAUCAUCUCAGUAUUCCUUCAAAGACUCAAAGCAUAAAUCAAGCUGGUAGCUUAUCUGUGCUAAUCUCUACAUCUUGUAUUCCAUGUAUGUUCUUUGGAGAUUAAAUUGGGUCUCAAAGGAAAUUUACUCACUUUGCAUGUCUUUUCAUUUGACCUAAUAGAAAUGUCACAGCAAGAUGCGGGACUUAAAAGCCUAACAUACAGGAUUAAGGUUGGAACUUGUUCAGUCAUACUGAAAUAUCCAUCAGAAGUUUGUACCAACCCAACUGAUCAAUUAGCAUUUGGGUUCCUAUAGCUUGUGGCUGCUUUAGCAACAAAGCAGCAACAUGAGCAGAGCGGAGCCUGAGCUACAGCUGCCUCCAACACUCUUGGGAUUUCCUGAGAUCCCAGGCAGUGAUAUUUAUCAUUUCCUUCAUUAAGAAGAGAGCAAAGCCUCCAAACCCUUUAUCAUCUGAUCUGAGUGCCAUGCAAGUCACUACCUUGAAAAUGAAAUAUGGCUUCUCAUCGUACCUCCAAGUAACAGCAAGGACCAAAUAGAAUUAAUGCAAGAAAAUAGAUAUUUUUAUGUAUAAGUCACCAGGGAGAAAGAGUAAAGAAGCAAGGAAAAUAAAGACAAGUAGGCUGAAGCUGCCCUGAAUCUCAAGACUAAACUCCAUCCCUCUCAGUGCAAACCUGUAGCACAUAGCACAGCAACAAAACCCUUACCCCUGGACGCAUCCCAGUGUGCAGAGCUGACGACGGAGUGCUGGGAGCUGCUGCUACCAGGGAAUUUAUUGCAGCUCUUAUCAGGAGAGGGUAUGAGCAUCUGUCUUCCAUGGAGAUGUGGUUGCAGCCCUGCAGCUCCUCCUGCGUCAGAGCAGGAUGAGGAACGGGGGCUCAUUUCCGUGUGAGUCAGAAUUUGAUAGAAUCAUAGGAUUUGAUAGAAUCACCCUACAUCUAACCCUAACACUAACCCUAACCCUAAUCCUACCCUAACCCUAACCCUACCCUAACCUAAAGCUAACCCUAUCCCUAACCCUAACCUAACCCUAACCCUUGUUUGAGUUGGAGGGGACCUUUAAAGGCUAUCUGGUCCAACUCCCCUACAGUGAGCAGGGACACCCACAGCUCCAUCAGGUGCUCAGAGCCCCAUGCAGCCUGACCUUGGGUGUCUCCA
Molecule: long non-coding RNA, 6791 nt
Filed under: Gallus gallus (chicken)
Lineage: Eukaryota; Metazoa; Chordata; Aves; Galliformes; Phasianidae
Source: RNAcentral